This 465-nucleotide ribosomal RNA is filed under the name uncultured bacterium. Its description in RNAcentral is "partial 16S ribosomal RNA". It matches the Rfam family "Bacterial small subunit ribosomal RNA", at positions 338 to 795 of the family's 1533-position model. The record is from RNAcentral.
CCUACGGGGGGCAGCAGUAGGGAAUCUUGCACAAUGGACGAAAGUCUGAUGGAGCAACGCCGCGUGAGUGAAGAAGGGUUUCGGCACGUAAAGCCCUGUUGGUAGUGAAGAAAGAUAGAGGAAGUAACUGGCCUUUAUUUGACGGUAAUUACUUAGAAAGUCACGGCUACCUCCGUGCCAGCAGCCGCGGUAGUACGUAGGUGGCCAGCGUUGUCCGGAUUUAUUGGGCGUAAAGCGAGUGAAGGCGGUUCAAUAAGUCUGAUGUGAAAGCCUUCGGCUCAACCGGAGAAUUGCAUCAGAAACUGGUGAACUUGAGUGCAGAAGAGGAGAGUGGAACGCCAUGUGUAGCGGUGGAAUGCGUAGAUAUAUGGAAGAACACCAGUGGCGAAGGCGGCUCUCUGGUCUGCAACUGACGCUGAGGCUCGAAAGCAUGGGUAGCGAACAGGAUUAGAUACCCUGGUAGUC